GAUCCAGAAGAAAGAGACAUUCGCACGGUUCCCGUUUUCCGGAGAUCACGUGACACGCUCCGCGGAAAGGUCUCUUUUCCCCCUUUCAUUUCCCGAGGUCCGUCUCUUCAAAACACGAUCCCGACUUUACACUCCUCCAUCUUCACGUCAGGGGGCGGACUUUAGACUUUGGACAGUGUCAGAUCUGGAAAAGAAGCAACACACGGAGAACUUAGUGAUGUGGAGACGCGCGACGAUGUUGACAGAAGAAACCAAGUCACGUGGAUUGGGACGUUGUUGGCGUCACGUGACGCGGACCGGGCGUCGGUGCUGUGGUCACGUGAACAGAACGGGAUGUCGUCGCCCCAGCACCUUUGGACCUAUCGCUUUACCGUGUGUACAGUGCAGUAUAGUGAUUAGUACGAAAUGUCCCCCUCAGCUCUUGCACGCGCCAAGUGAGAGGAGAGCACAUUCCGGAGAAGAAAAUGCCCAGAGUUGCCAGAGUGGAGAGCUGGGCUUCGGUGGCGCAGUGGUGAAAUGUGUCUUUUGGUAGUUGGGUGAAGGGUGGGUUCACAGUAUACAUUGGGGCUACUACCGGUUGCAGUACUUAGACUUUGGCAAAUUAGUUGGGAGUUUAGUUGGAAGAAAAGUGGUGCUGGGGGUGCAAAUUCAAUGAUGCAGAGGUUGUAGAAACAUAAUGAGGACAUUAAUGGAUACGUAAUUAGCAAGUU
RNAcentral lists this unclassified non-coding RNA (710 nucleotides) under Yarrowia lipolytica. Lineage: Eukaryota; Fungi; Ascomycota; Dipodascomycetes; Dipodascales. The record is from RNAcentral.